Molecule: ribosomal RNA, 274 nt
Filed under: uncultured bacterium
Lineage: Bacteria
Description: partial 16S ribosomal RNA
Rfam family: Bacterial small subunit ribosomal RNA
Source: RNAcentral
AUACGGAGGGUCCAAGCGUUAUCCGGAUUCAUUGGGUUUAAAGGGUUCGUAGGCGGAUAAAUAAGUCAGUGGUGAAAUCCCGAAGCUCAACUUCGGAACUGCCAUUGAAACUGUUUAUCUUGAAUUUAGUCGAAGUGGGCGGAAUAUGACAUGUAGCGGUGAAAUGCAUAGAUAUGUCAUGGAACACCAAUAGUGAAGACAGCUCACUAAGCUAAUAUUGACGCUGAUGAACGAAAGCAUGGGUAGCGAACAGGAUUAGAAACCCGGGUAGUCC